UAUAACAUAACAUCAUAUUUGGCAAAAGUGUUUAUCACACACGUAGUGAAUGGUUCGUUCCUUUUAUGGCAGUAAGGAUGUGCCUACGCCUCUGUAUAAAAGCUGUUGAAUAAAGAAAGGCAGAUGUUCCCUGAGAGCAUCCUGAAGUCGUGGUUUCUUCGUUAUUUGAGCCUCAACAGUUGGUGCCCACCGUGGGGCUGGACAGAGGCCUUGGUGGAUUCACAGAUGGGUCGUGGUGACGCUGUGUUUGGGCCCAAACUAAAGAGACAGUCAGUGAUGUGGACCAGGAAACAGGAUGUGGUCUUCCAUCUCCGUGGUAACCACACACCACACAGUUCCUCCUUCUGUCACCUUUAAAAGCACACGGUGGAUCCGGAUGACCCGCCAAUCAACUUGAGAUCAGCUCCAAGAAGAGAAGAGCGUCUGACUGGACAUGGACCACGCACCAUACGUCCUGGUUUUCCUUUGCAUUUCCAUUCAAGGGCUCCUGUCUGAAAACAACAGCACUUCCACAGAGUCUGUCCACUUCAGGUUGGUGGGAGG
Long non-coding RNA from Sphaeramia orbicularis (orbiculate cardinalfish), 543 nucleotides. RefSeq lists it as uncharacterized. NCBI's taxonomy places the organism in Eukaryota, Metazoa, Chordata, Actinopteri, Kurtiformes, Apogonidae. The transcript is spliced from 4 exons. The record is from RefSeq and is a predicted model, not a curated record.